RNAcentral lists this ribosomal RNA (253 nucleotides) under uncultured bacterium. Its description in RNAcentral is "partial 16S ribosomal RNA". It matches the Rfam family "Bacterial small subunit ribosomal RNA", at positions 524 to 776 of the family's 1533-position model. The record is from RNAcentral.
GACGGAGGGUGCAAGCGUUGUUCGGAAUUACUGGGCGUAAAGGGCGCGUAGGCGGUCUGUUAAGUUCGGUGUGAAAGCCCCCGGCUCACCUGGGGAACUGCGCCGGAAACCGACAGACUCGAGUACCGGAGAGGAGGGUGGAAUUCCUGGUGUAGCGGUGAAAUGCGCAGAUAUCAGGAGGAACACCUAUGGCGAAGGCAGCUCGCUGGGACGGUACUGACGCUGAGGCGCGAAAGCGUGGGGAGCGAACAGG